CCCCGCCGCCGGGGCGCCCCGGGACCGCCGCCUGCCUUCGCAGGCACCUUUGUUCUUUCUCUCCCAACUACCUGUCUGAGCAGUGGGCCGGAGAGGGCCCCAAGAAAGAUCCGCCCCUCCCGGAGAGUCUCCCCAUCUGCAUCGGAGGGGCGCUCUUGGGGAGCCCGGGAUAGUGUCCCAGUCUCUCUCUCUGCCUGCCUCCCGCACCUCUUCUCUCUCCUCUUUUGUUGCCUGUACUCUUCGUCGCGACGCUGCCUUGGCUGCUUUUCCCCCUCCCACUUGGGAGUUUGCAGCGUGGACGGCCGGUGAACACCGUCAACUUAGAAAUUUGGGAAAACACAACACAUGGGACCAGAAGUUUGAGGACUUCACUGAAAUGAUUCUCCAUGCUUUGUACGACAUCUCUACAUAAGAAGAGAGAAAUCAUCACUCCAGUUUGAGACCCCCUCAUUCUUCCUCUUUGUUCCUUCUUCUACCCUCUUCAUAUCCCUGAUAAUAAAAAGUAAAAUGACAGAAAAAAAAGCAUGACAAAGGCAAACAAUACAUUAAGCGCACAACUGGAGUCACUAGGAUUAACCACUAAAAAUAUUGCACAGGGUAUACUCCUGCUAAAAACAAAUAUGUUGUUUAUCUGAAAUUAAAGUUGAACUUUAAUAUUUC
Molecule: long non-coding RNA, 660 nt
Filed under: Ictidomys tridecemlineatus (thirteen-lined ground squirrel)
Lineage: Eukaryota; Metazoa; Chordata; Mammalia; Rodentia; Sciuridae
Description: lncRNA (ENSSTOG00000033281.1)
Source: RNAcentral